AUUGAACGCUGGCGGCAGGCUUAACACAUGCAAGUCGAGCGGGGGAAGGUAGCUUGCUACCGGACCUAGCGGCGGACGGGUGAGUAAUGCUUAGGAAUCUGCCUAUUAGUGGGGGACAACAUCUCGAAAGGGAUGCUAAUAACGCAUACGACCUACGGGAGAAAGAAGGGGAUCUUCGGACCUUGCGCUAAUAGAUGAGCCUAAGUCGGAUUAUCUAGUUGGUGGGGUAAAGGCCUACCAAGGCGACGAUCUGUAGCGGGUCUGAGAGGAUGAUCCGCCACCCUGGGACUUAGAAACGGCCCAGACUCCUACGGGAGGCAGCAGUGGGGAAUAUUGGACAAUGGGGGGAAACCUGAUCCAGCCAUGCCGGGUGUGUGAAGAAGGCCUUAUGGUUGUAAAGCACUUUAAGCGAGGAGGAGGCUACUCUAGUUAAUACCUAGGGAUAGUGGACGUUACUCGCAGAAUAAGCACCGGCUAACUCUGUGCCAGCAGCCGCAGUAA
RNAcentral lists this ribosomal RNA (501 nucleotides) under uncultured bacterium. Its description in RNAcentral is "partial 16S ribosomal RNA". It matches the Rfam family "Bacterial small subunit ribosomal RNA", at positions 30 to 523 of the family's 1533-position model. The record is from RNAcentral.